CUCUUCCUGGGCAGUAAUGCCCAGGCCUCAUUGAAGC
Non-coding RNA from Azospirillum lipoferum, 37 nucleotides. The record is from Rfam. NCBI's taxonomy places the organism in Bacteria, Pseudomonadati, Pseudomonadota, Alphaproteobacteria, Rhodospirillales, Azospirillaceae.